GUAUGGGGGGUUUACUUUUUGUAUUACAGCUAACGCGUUAAACAUUCCGCCUGGGGACUACGGUCGCAAGAUUAAAACUCAAAGGAAUUGACGGGGACCCGCACAAGCGGUGGAGCAUGUGGUUUAAUUCGAUGCAACGCGAAAAACCUUACCACUCCUUGACAUGGAAAUUAUACCUAUUCGAAGGGAUAGGGUCGGUUCGGCCGGGUUUCACACAGGUGUUGCAUGGCUGUCGUCAGCUCGUGUCGUGAGAUGUUGGGUUAAGUCCCG
RNAcentral lists this ribosomal RNA (270 nucleotides) under uncultured Wolbachia sp. Its description in RNAcentral is "partial 16S ribosomal RNA". It matches the Rfam family "Bacterial small subunit ribosomal RNA", at positions 820 to 1089 of the family's 1533-position model. Lineage: Bacteria; Pseudomonadati; Pseudomonadota; Alphaproteobacteria; Rickettsiales; Anaplasmataceae. The record is from RNAcentral.